RNAcentral lists this ribosomal RNA (253 nucleotides) under uncultured bacterium. Its description in RNAcentral is "partial 16S ribosomal RNA". It matches the Rfam family "Bacterial small subunit ribosomal RNA", at positions 524 to 776 of the family's 1533-position model. The record is from RNAcentral.
UACGUAGGGGGCAAGCGUUGUCCGGAAUCAUUGGGCGUAAAGCGCGCGUAGGCGGCCAGAUUAGUCCGGUGUGAAAGUCAGAGGCUCAACCUUUGAAUGCCGCUGGAAACUGUCUGGCUUGAGUCCGGAAGGGGCGAGUGGAAUUCCUGGUGUAGCGGUGAAAUGCGCAGAUAUCAGGAGGAACACCAAUGGCGAAGGCAGCUCGCUGGAACGGUACUGACGCUGAGGCGCGAAAGCGUGGGGAGCAAACAGG